GCCGAAAUAGCUCAUUUGGGAGAGCGUCAGACUGAAGAUCUGAAGGUCCCUG
RNAcentral lists this transfer RNA (52 nucleotides) under Gasterosteus aculeatus (three-spined stickleback). It matches the Rfam family "tRNA", at positions 1 to 50 of the family's 71-position model. From Rfam's summary of the family: Transfer RNA (tRNA) molecules are approximately 80 nucleotides in length. Their secondary structure includes four short double-helical elements and three loops (D, anti-codon, and T loops). The record is from Rfam by way of RNAcentral. Lineage: Eukaryota; Metazoa; Chordata; Actinopteri; Perciformes; Gasterosteidae.